Oncorhynchus tshawytscha (Chinook salmon) is the source of this 648-nucleotide long non-coding RNA. The record is from Ensembl. Lineage: Eukaryota; Metazoa; Chordata; Actinopteri; Salmoniformes; Salmonidae.
GAGAGGUGCAUGGACAUGGGCUGGUUGAUGUGAGAGGUGCAUGGACACGGUUGGGUGAUGUGAGUGGUUCAUGGACAUGGGCUGGGUGUUGUGAGAGUUGCAUGGACAUGGACAUGGUUGGGUGAUGUGAGAGGUGCAUGGACAUGGUUGGGUGAUGUGAGAGGUGCACGGACAUGGACAUGGGUGGGUGAUCUGAGAGGUGCAUGGACAUGGACAUGGUUGGAAGAUGUGAGAGGUGCACGAAUAUGGACAUUGUUGGGAGAUGUGAGAUGUGAAUGGACAUGGGUUGGGUGACGUGAGAGGUGCAUGGACAUGGACAUGUUUUGGUGAUGUGAGAGGUGCAUGGACAUAGGUCAGGUCUUGUGAGAGGUAAAUGGACAUGGAGAUGGGCUUGGUAAUGUGAGUGGUGCAUGGAGAUUGACAUUGGUUGGGUGGUGUGAGACGUGCACAGAUAUGGACAUGGGCUGGGUGAUGUGAGUGGUGUAUGGACACGGACAUGGGUUGGGUUAUGUGAGAGGUGCAUGGACAUGGACAUGGGCUGGGUGAUGUGAGUGGUGCAUGGACAUGGGUGGGUGAUGUGAGAGGUGCAUGGACAUGGGCAUGGGUUGGGUGAUGUGAGAGGUUAAUGUACAUGGACAUGGUUGGGUG